AUAAAUCCAUUCAAUGCAUUAUUACCCUAACAUGCACAAACUCAACAUUCAAGUUAGUACAAUAAUUUCCAUUAACCAAUAAUAUAUACCAUGAUUGAUGAGCUCAUUAAUACCAUGAUUUUCAUUCCCUUGUUAUUUUUCAAUAUUUAUCCUGUUGAAUUUCUCAAAAUUUCAAUGGAUUUUUCAGAGGUACACUUUUAGUGUACAAUUUUAGGGUCUGUCAAUUCAUAUUCAUGUGUGCACAUUUUCAUUUUAGAGAGCACACUCCCGCGAACCUCAUCUUUACAGCGAGAUUACCAGUCCAGGCUAAAUCCCUUAUAAUAUAAACUUAUAGAGUAUUAUCGGGAUUACCAAUCCAGGCUAAAUCCCCUGCAACGACAAUUACUCUAAUGAGUUUGGAUCUGAAUUACCAGUUCAGGCUAAAUUCAGACCCUAAUUUGGAUUACCCGUCCGGACUAAAUCCAUUUUCCACAUUUUUCGGGAGGACUAUAUCAAGAUAGGAUCACCCGUCCGGGCUAGAUCUUUUUUACCGUCAAUUCCUUCUUAGAGAUUCAUCGAAUUUUCAUUCCAUCCAACAGGGAUUUCUUCCGGUUUUUAUCAAAUAUAUCAAUGUUUCAUCAAUUUUCAUACAAUAAACAUUCAAAUCAUAUUC
Molecule: long non-coding RNA, 652 nt
Filed under: Gossypium barbadense (sea-island cotton)
Lineage: Eukaryota; Viridiplantae; Streptophyta; Magnoliopsida; Malvales; Malvaceae
Description: long non-coding RNA (GBAR_LNC003487)
Source: RNAcentral